UACUGUCACAUUUAGCCAGUGCAGUUGGACAAGACUAAGAAACUAGAUGUGUGAAUAUAAUUUAGAGGAAGAGGAAAAACUAUUUCUACUUGCAAAGUAGAACAUGUGAUACCCAGGAGGUCACAGUGUGGUAGGCUAAAUUAUGACCCCCAUAUAGGUCCACAGCCUGAUCAUUGGAAUGUCUGAAUAUGGGACCUUUGCCUGGCAAAAGAACUUUGCAGAUGUAAUUGAAUUAAGGCUUUUGGGAUGAGGAGAUCAUCUUAGAUAAUCUGGAUGUGUUUCCUGUAAUCACAAGGCUCCUUAUCAGAGGGACGCAGGAAGAGUCCGUCAGAUAGAAGGUGAUAUAACAAGGAAGCAGAAGGCUAGAGAGAAAGAAAUUUGAAGAUGCUUUACUGCUGGCUUGAAGAUGGACAAAGGGAGCAAUGAGCCAAAGGACAAGCAAGGCCUGUAGAAGCUAAAAUAGCAAACAGAGGGGCACCUGAAAGUGUUAGACCAGAAGAUACCACUGAGGAAGGAAUGUUUAAAGUGGAAUGAUACAUUUCCAACAGAACAUAAACAACAAAAUACUUAAUAUGCAGUCCAGACUGAAAUGUGUAAUGAAAAUAGUUGGAUAUUAAAGAAUUCAAGAGUGAGAGGCAUCAGCAAGGAGGACCUCCUCCUUAUUAUUGAGAUUUUCCUGACAUCAAUGUAUCCUUUUGAGUAUAUUAUCGUAUCUCUUAACAUUUCUGUUUCAUCCUUGACCUGAGACUUUUUUUUUUUUUUUUAAUCUUGAGAUAAUUCUUGGCUUUGUCAAGGCUACUGGUGACAAAAGCAUUAGCAAGCAGGUGCAGAGUGCUUUUUCCACCAAAGAAGAGACAUUGUACUCUUUUUGGGGUUAUAUUAAUGACUAAUUCACCUCUCUGUCCUCCUCAAUGCCAUCUGUCUUUUGUUUGGUCUCCCUGAUGUUAGUCACGAAGUCUGCUUAGAAGGAUUUAUGUCUUACUUUGAUAUAGGUUCUAUACUCAAUGCUAGGGAACAAUCAUUGGCAAGAUGUGUCUCCUUUACUCAAAGAGGUUUUAAUGGUCUAUGUUUGGAAAAGAGACAUACAGUCAUUAGAAUGCAAUAUUGUGAAAGUUGACAAGGGAAAUUCUUGGGGUUAUGGGAAUCUUCAAUAUCUUUAUUGAGAAAUACAGAUAUACACAUUUAUCAAAACUCAUAAAAUGAUGAAUUUGUAGUAUUUUAUUGUGUAUAAAUUAUGCCUCAAUAAAAGUUCAUUGUAAUGUGCUGAAAGAAUAAAUGAUAAAGAAG
This 1287-nucleotide long non-coding RNA is filed under the name Homo sapiens (human). RNAcentral's name for it is "HSALNT0019415". The record is from RNAcentral. Lineage: Eukaryota; Metazoa; Chordata; Mammalia; Primates; Hominidae.